AACAUGAAUUUCUAUCGAGGAAAACACAUUAAGAGCGAGAGGCAGGGAGCCAAACUUGUUCAACAGCAGAUUCUACAUGUGAGUCUACUGAUAAUUCAUACGUCGUAUACAAAUGCAUCCAAACCAUCAAUUAUCCCUGCUUGCCAUUUUUCUUCUUCAUCCAAACUUUCAGUAUUGGGAUCCUGCCAAGUAAUCGCAACGUAAGGACCACUGAAUAGUAUCUGAAAGUGCAAAAAAACAGAUUCGCUUUUGUUUCCAUUCACAUUCAUUUCAGUGAUCAUCUUGAAACACAAUGAAGAUACGCAGGUAUAGAUUGUUAGACAAGGAGUAAAUUGUUAACAUCACAAUAGAAUCAGUACACUUGUUCCGGACCUUUAGCAGCUUCGGAGUAGCCAUUUUCCUGAGCCUGGACCAAUCAAAUCCUUUAAAGAACGGAUGGUUCUUGAUGUCAUCAUAGCCUUGAACUCCCAGUCUCUCAUUAGGUUUCAAAUUCUGCAGUUGUUAAAAGCCACUUCCAUUAGCGGACAGCUAAUCGUAUAAACUUAGUACAAGAAAACCUGAAAACUAAAAUAGUAAACAAAAUACAUCUUGGAAUUCAAAUUCUACCUCCUUUCAUAGAAACAAACAGCGACGUAUAAAAAUGGACCGAAAUGAAUAGUAGAACAGAAUAUUUACCAGCAGACUGUCUACCAGGUCUUUGGCUUCGGGACUAAAAUGCGAUGGAAUGGAAAGCUCUCGUGCCAUCACUUUCUGAAAGGUCAAAUAUUCUGUCGCAGCUUUGAACGGGGGUCUGCCUUCUAACAUUUGGUAUAUAGUGCAACCCAAUGCCCACAAGUCGACACUGAUGCAAAACAAGAAUAUAGCACAAUAAGAAGAUGCAGAAUCCGCAACUUGAAAGGCAAACUGCACAUGAAAUUGCUAACAAUAUCUUAAAUGUAACUCAUGUAAAGAAAACAUAUUCAAGCAAAUCUUCGCAGGACAGAAUUUUGUAACAUACGAAUGGCUAGCUGAUUUGCCGUGAAGAACUUCUGGUGACACAUAUUCUGCUGUGCCAACGAAGGCGGAAGAAUCUUCUUCUGUCACAGGUAAUUAGGGCUUUUUAUCACAAGAACUCAUCUGCAAUGAACCUUUCAGCAUGGAGAAGCUUCGUACUACUCGUAAUAGAAUCCAAAAACAAGCUUCGGAUAAUCAGCACCUUCAGAUUGGAAAAAUCCAUUUGGUAAUGGUCGGAACAUCUUUGCACUGCCGAAGUCGCACAGUUUAAGGUUUCCCUCUGCUGAUAUGAGUAUGUUCUCUGGCUGCCACAUUUGCAGAACAUCAGUGCAAUCGUAAAUUGGAGGUCAAGGGGCUCACUGGAGAUCUCGACAACUUACAUGGUUUGAAGUGAUGAUGCAUACGUACAAACAGAUUGUGAUAACAGGUAAUACAAUCAAAGCGACUCGUGAAAUCCCAACUAAGAAGAAAUUUAUGCAGAUACAAGAUGCUGGGAAAAAAAUCGCACAAUUAGCAAACAAGACUAUGCACCGAGUACCAAUGCAGCUUUUCAUGGUCCGAAUAGCAC
This 1561-nucleotide long non-coding RNA is filed under the name Physcomitrium patens. RNAcentral's name for it is "long non-coding RNA (PPAT_LNC014516)". The record is from RNAcentral. Lineage: Eukaryota; Viridiplantae; Streptophyta; Bryopsida; Funariales; Funariaceae.